RNAcentral lists this transfer RNA (72 nucleotides) under Thlaspi arvense. RNAcentral's name for it is "partial transfer RNA-Gly". The record is from RNAcentral. Lineage: Eukaryota; Viridiplantae; Streptophyta; Magnoliopsida; Brassicales; Brassicaceae.
GCGGGUAUAGUUUAGUGGUAAAAGUGUGAUUCGUUCCUUUAAACCCUUUAAUAGUUAAAGGGUCUCUCGGUU